ACACAUGCAAGUUUUACUUUUAUCUAACACUUUUUUAUUUGGUGUUUUGAUAAUAAAUUAAAGUAAGGCGAACGGGUGAGUAAUAUAUAAGAAUCUACCAUUCAAUUUUUAUAAUUAAUGAUGAGCUUAUAUCUAAUUAGUUUGUUGGCGGGGUAAGGCCUACCAAGACUUUGAUUAGUAGUUGGUUUGGAAGAAUGAUCAGCCACACUAGGACUGAAACAAGGCCUAGACUAAUUUUUUAAUUAGUCAGCAGUGGGGGAUAUUCUGCAAUGGGCAAUAAGUGCCUGACAGAGUAAUAUCGAGUUAACUCAAAUGAGUUUAUUUCUUAAAAGAUUAAUUAAGAAGGUAUUUUAAGAAAAGUAUUGGCUAACUCCUGUGCCAGCAGCCGCGGUAAUACAGGGAAUGCAAGCGUUAUUCGGUUUAAUUAGGUGUAAAAGGUUGUUAGGCUUUUCGUUAAGUGUUUUGUUAAAGUCCAAAAUUAUUUAACCAUUCCUUAAUUAUAAAUUUUAUAGUUUUUUUGGGGUGCAUUUCAUACUAACAGAAUGGAGUAUUAAACACAAAAGAUAGAUAGAACCUUAUGAUGAACAAUUAAAUGUUUUAAAUAUAAGGGACUGCCAAUGGUGAAGACAAUCUAUUAUGUUAAUACUGACGCUGAGUCAACGAAAGCACGGGAGAAAUGGGAUUUAGAGACCCCAGUAAUCGUAUGCUGUAAAUUUUGAAUACUAGGCUAUAAACAAAAGAAGACUUUACUGGUUCCAUUAACUCAGUUUAUUGGAAUGCAAGUUUUCUUUUCCUUUUUUUUUUAAUAUAUAUUAAUAUUUUAUAUAUAGUAUAUAUUUUUUGUGGCCACAGUUAACACGUUUAAGUAUUGUACCUGGAAAGUACGUCCGCAAGGAUGAAAUUCAAAGGAAUUGGCGUGAAUCUUUACAUUUUUACAACGAUGGAGCAUGUGGUUUAAUUCGACAAAGAGCGAAAAACAUUAUCAAGGUUUAACGGUGGUGCAUGGCUGUUAUCGUGCUGUGAAGUGUCAGGUUAAGUCCUGUAACGAGCGCAACCCUUAGUAAUUUGUUGUUUAAUUAUAAAUAAAGAACUAAUUAUGACUUCUUAAUAAUACAUAAAAAGAGGAAGAAGGACAAAAACAAGUAAACUUGCCCCUAUACUUUGAGCAACACGCGUGCUACAAUGGAAAAUAACAAAGUUUUAUUCUUAAAUAUUUCCUCAGUUCGGAUUGUAUAUGGAUUAAAAUGCCUACAUGAAGUUGAAAUCGUAUUUUGAAGUAAUCGUAAAAAGGUCCUUACGGUGAAGAUUUGUUUUAAAUUUUUUUUUAUUUCGUAAAGGUUUCGUACAUACUGCCCGUCACGUUCCGAUGAUUACGUUUUACUUAAAGUUUUUCCUAAGGAAAGAUGAAUGUAAAAUUGUCAUUGUAAUGAAGUCGUAACAAGGUAGCUGUGUCGGAAGGUGCGG
RNAcentral lists this ribosomal RNA (1464 nucleotides) under Pilostyles thurberi. Its description in RNAcentral is "bacterial SSU rRNA". It matches the Rfam family "Bacterial small subunit ribosomal RNA". The record is from RNAcentral. Lineage: Eukaryota; Viridiplantae; Streptophyta; Magnoliopsida; Cucurbitales; Apodanthaceae.